CUAUUUGAUAGGUUCUAAGUGUUGAAGAUGAAGACUUGGUGAGUCCUCAUAGAUUCGAGGACAAUACCCAAUAUAUUCUUUUAUGUCUUUUUAGUAUUGUUUAAGUUGUGUACGGGAUUAGUCCCGAAUUUUGUACUCUAAAGUAUUAGAUGGUUAUGAGACAUCAUGUAUAAAGUCUAGAAAGUCUUCCGCUUGCUUUAUAUAUUUUUUUU
This 212-nucleotide long non-coding RNA is filed under the name Solanum tuberosum (potato). RNAcentral describes it as "long non-coding RNA (STUB_LNC000175)". The record is from RNAcentral. Lineage: Eukaryota; Viridiplantae; Streptophyta; Magnoliopsida; Solanales; Solanaceae.